Molecule: ribosomal RNA, 481 nt
Filed under: uncultured bacterium
Lineage: Bacteria
Description: bacterial SSU rRNA
Rfam family: Bacterial small subunit ribosomal RNA
Source: RNAcentral
GACGAACGCUGGCGGCGUGCCUAACACAUGCAAGUCGAGCGGAGUCGAUCGACGGAAGCCUUCGGGCGGAAGAUGGUUGACUUAGCGGCGGAUGGGUGAGUAACGCGUGGGCAACCUGCCUCGAAGACCGGGAUAACAGCCCGAAAGGGCUGCUAAUACCGGAUGUGGUCAAGGAUCCGCAUGGAUUUUUGAUUAAAGGGGAAACCCGUUUCGAGAUGGGCCCGCGUCCUAUCAGCUAGUUGGUGAGGUAAAAGCUCACCAAGGCGACGACGGGUAGCCGGCCUGAGAGGGUGACCGGCCACACUGGAACUGAGACACGGUCCAGACUCCUACGGGGGCAGCAGUGGGGAAUCUUCCACAAUGGGCGAAAGCCUGAUGGAGCGACGCCGCGUGAGCGAAGAAGGCCUUCGGUUGUAAAGCUCUGUCUGGAGGGACGAAGGAAGUGACGGUACCUCCGGAGGAAGCCACGGCUAACUACGUG